AAUCACAUCACCUCUGAACACUCUUGUGAUGUCUCAUACAUGAGCUUUUGGGGACAACUCAUAUCCUAACCAUUUCACAUGGCAUGCAGAAUUAAGAAACCAGUCCCCAUCUCAAAGUGCUUUCAUUUCUUUCUCCUCCCAGCUACAGGUUCCUAUGACACAAAAGUGCCCUGUCAGAAUACAUGCUCCUUGGAAUAUUUGCAAAAUAGGGUGAUGGAGGAAGAACAUCUGGGCCUCAGCUGCCAUAAAGCACGAGAGUCUGGAAAGCCCAUCAUAGUUGCAGGUUGCCACCCUCUUCUAUGCCCUUUCUGGUACCAUGUUGCUACUGAGAUCUUCCUCAUCUCCUCUCGGGAUCUUCAAAAGUUGGUUCGCUGGAAGAAUAUAAGCCUGGGAGCCACUGUGUUGAGUCUGUCGAAGGAUAAAGCAAAACCAAGUAGUGGGAAAACAUGGAUCAUCCAAAUGAUAUUGAAUGAGUCCUCUGACUUGGCCCACCCUACGUGAAACACUGUGCCUGGACUCCAGUUAUAUGAGGCUAAAGCUAAAUAUCUACCUAGAAAAAUCUGAAUUCCUCUCUCACACACUGGAGGAUCCCCCUAAAGAAGCAUCUGAAAUAAGGAUUCAUAUGCAGAGCGUUUAGUUGAGAAGUGAUCCCAGGAAUUCCCACAGGGGAAUGGGAAAGGGAGACAGAGAGGAGAAGGCAGCCAAUAAGAGAUGCACUACUGAGCAGAGGACAGCUGAAGGGCAACUUGGGCUCCAUACUACUUGGGAACUCCAGGAGACCUUGUGGAGCACUCAUUUUGGAGUGACGUCAUCCAAGGAGGAAAGGGAGCCAGGGUGCUAGGGUAUUGACCACCUCUCCUGACUGUGGUUAUAUCAGGUUGCCCCCAGGGCUCACUGGUACCCCACUUCCUUUCUGGCUUGCCAUGAGCAUGGGUGAGGCAGGGUCCUGGGCAGAGUCACAGGAACGUGGCAAUCUGUAGUCAAGCUGGUAUGCACAGCAUCCAGGGGAAAGGGGUGGGAUACUCCUACUUUGUAUUGUUUUGUUUUUGUGUAGAAGAUGGAUGAUUAGGCUAGGCUUUCUGCCAUUUUCAAAGGAAAAAAACAUCCUGACUAAUAUAAGUGAGACUUCCACCCAAGUGAGGGGUCAGACUAGGUAGCCUCAAACUAUUUUUGGAAUAAAACAGCCCUGGAUUUCUUCCACAAUCUAACCCAUCCCAGACAUGACACCAUCUUGGCUUCGGGGAAAAUCCUAUCAAAUGUCUUUUGUGCCUUGUACCCACCCUGGUCACAGUCGGUUGGAUCAUCCACAAGGCAUCCCAGAGUGGGAGAGGUGGUCAGGCCUGGAGUCUCCCAGUGUUGGCUUGUUCUCCAGGAAAUCAGCACCACUUCCCAUGGUUCCCUGUUCCAUUUAAGGCCAUGUGACCCAGGCUCUGCUCUGGGGUAGGAUGACUGCUUGCAGAAUCUCAUAGGACUACCAGCAGGUCCAACAGCCUCCUGGGAGCUGCCCAGUGCCAAGGUCAAUGCUUGGCACCAGAAUCACGAGCCACCACACAGCUUUGUAGAUUCGAACAGCAAUUCUUUAUUCCAUCUCUCACACCACCUCCACACAGGUCCAGGGGCAAUCGCUUUCUCCCGUCUACCCGCACAAUUCACCUACUACACGAGGCUAUCUCCAAAUCCCAUUUUAAUCUCACGAGAACUCAACGGGAACAAGCAGCAGGAACACCCUAAUCCCAGCAAUAAUCUUCAACUUCCAACUUCCCUAAAACCCAUUAUCUUAAACUGGCAACGCCUUAAACUCAAGGAGCCGGUUACUUCCUCAAACCUGAUCAGCUCUAAACCCGGAUCUGCCUUGGUCCUUGAGCAAGGUCACCUCAUUAAAGCAUGCAUGCAAUGUCCCAUCAAAUGUCCUCUAAGCAGCAUGGGGUACGCUUGGCAAGGAAAUUUCGAUGCGUCAUUCCUACUUGGUAAUGGCCCUCAGCAGCCCAGAGCUUAUAUUUUCAAUGGAUCUUGGAAGAAGCAUAAGAUUCCCACCCAGGGAGCCAAGGGAACCCAGGUCCCAGUCCUCUCAUGGUAAAGGUCUGGGGCAUAAGGGUCCAGAAUCCACACUGCAGCCAUAGUAAUUCUUCUCCCCACCCCAGGAGGACGUCUGGACAGAGGAAAGAAAGGCCUCGCAUACGUCUUCUCCUAGGAGUUUGCUUCGAGGUGAUAAAUAUCUUUCGUUUCUAUUGUGAAUGAGAUCUUUCUUUUCCAUUAUUUUUUCUAAGUGGUUACUGUUGGAAAUAGGAAAGGUAUUGAUUUUGGUACAUUUAUUUUGUAACUGAC
Molecule: long non-coding RNA, 2325 nt
Filed under: Ictidomys tridecemlineatus (thirteen-lined ground squirrel)
Lineage: Eukaryota; Metazoa; Chordata; Mammalia; Rodentia; Sciuridae
Description: lncRNA (ENSSTOG00000030551.1)
Source: RNAcentral